GGCUCAUCGGAGGUGAUUUUUGGUUUUUCCUACGGCGGCGGCGCCGAACUUUACCUGCAGUUUUCGACUUAUUCGCUGUUCCUUUUGCUCCGAUUUGGCCAUGAGAGUGUUCAAAAUUAAAUUUCAAGCGAAUAUGAGAAUUUUUACCUUUUUUGGCAGUCGGAAGUGGCUCCAACGUGGCAGUUGGCGACUGUCGGCUCCCUUCUCGGUGAGUGGUUUUUCUUCUCCGGCAGGAGGCUGGCGGCUAGAGUUUCGUUUGAUGUGAAGUGAGAUAUUUAAACUUGUCUCUCUUAAAUCUGAAGUGUUCACCACGUUUGAUCUCGACCGUCCGAUUGCAUUUAAGGAGAAAAUGAAUUUAGACUGUUUAUCGCGAUUUGAUCUCGACCGUACGAUCACAUUUAAAGAGGAAACAAAUCUGGACUGUUCAUCGCAUUUAAUCGCGACCAUCCGAUCAUGCAUGAGGAGGGAACGGAUCUGGACCGUCCACGCGCGCGAAAACGCAU
Molecule: long non-coding RNA, 503 nt
Filed under: Carica papaya (papaya)
Lineage: Eukaryota; Viridiplantae; Streptophyta; Magnoliopsida; Brassicales; Caricaceae
Description: long non-coding RNA (CPAP_LNC008710)
Source: RNAcentral